AUGAAUUGUGUAAGUUGGAACUGUCGCGGGCUUGGGAACCCGGAGACAGUUCAUGAGCUUCAUCAUUUGGUGAGGCUGGAAGCGCCCGCCCUGGUCUUCGUCUCCGAGAGGAAGAUCGAGGGAACUAGAGUUGCAGAUCUCAGAGCGAGACUAGGAUUUGAAGGUUGUGUUCCAGUUAGUAGUAAUGGCCUAAGUGGUGGUCUUGCCCUCUUCUGGUCAAAG
RNAcentral lists this ribosomal RNA (222 nucleotides) under Triticum aestivum (bread wheat). Its description in RNAcentral is "partial small subunit ribosomal RNA". Lineage: Eukaryota; Viridiplantae; Streptophyta; Magnoliopsida; Poales; Poaceae. The record is from RNAcentral.